UACGGAGGGAGCUAGCGUUGUUCGGAAUUACUGGGCGUAAAGCGCACGUAGGCGGCUUUGUAAGUCAGAGGUGAAAGCCCGGGGCUCAACUCCGGAACUGCCUUUAAGACUGCAUCGCUUGAAUCCAGGAGAGGUGAGUGGAAUUCCGAGUGUAGAGGUGAAAUUCGUAGAUAUUCGGAAGAACACCAGUGGCGAAGGCGGCUCACUGGACUGGUAUUGACGCUGAGGUGCGAAAGCGUGGGGAGCAAACAGG
RNAcentral lists this ribosomal RNA (253 nucleotides) under uncultured bacterium. Its description in RNAcentral is "partial 16S ribosomal RNA". It matches the Rfam family "Bacterial small subunit ribosomal RNA", at positions 524 to 776 of the family's 1533-position model. The record is from RNAcentral.